CCGGUAUUUUUGAUGUCUAGCCUGCUCACUGAUAUUUUAAAGAGCCGCGGUAUUUUGACCGUGCAAAGGUAGCAUAAUCAUUAGUCUUUUAAUUAGAGGCUGGAAUGAAUGGCUUGACGAGAAAUUAACUGUCUCUUAAUAAUUUUUAGAAUUUAACUUUUAAGUCAAAAGGCUUAAAUAUUUCUUUAGGACGAGAAGACCCUAUAGAGCUUAACAUUUAAUUUAUAUAUAUUUUUAGGUUAGUUUUUUUAUAUUUAAUGAUAAUGUUUUGUUGGGGUGACAUGAAGAAUUAAUAAACUCUUCAUUAUUAAAUCAUUAAUUUAUGUUAUUUUUGAUCCAUAAUUUAUGAUCAUAAGAUUAAGUUACCUUAGGGAUAACAGCGUAAUUGUUUUUGAGAGCUCAUAUCGACAAAGCAGAUUGCGACCUCGAUGUUGGAUUAAGAAAAAUUCUUGGUGCAGUAACUAAGUAAUUAGGUCUGUUCGACCUUUAAAUUCUUACGUGAUCUGGU
RNAcentral lists this ribosomal RNA (508 nucleotides) under Arcyptera meridionalis. RNAcentral's name for it is "partial 16S ribosomal RNA". It matches the Rfam family "Bacterial large subunit ribosomal RNA", at positions 1838 to 2609 of the family's 2925-position model. Lineage: Eukaryota; Metazoa; Arthropoda; Insecta; Orthoptera; Acrididae. The record is from RNAcentral.